RNAcentral lists this ribosomal RNA (216 nucleotides) under Glomeromycotina sp. Its description in RNAcentral is "partial small subunit ribosomal RNA". The stretch from base 40 to 216 matches the Rfam family "Eukaryotic small subunit ribosomal RNA", at positions 686 to 864 of the family's 1831-position model. Lineage: Eukaryota; Fungi; Glomeromycota. The record is from RNAcentral.
GGGUCAGUAGGUUGGUCGUGCCACCGGUACGUACUGGUCUCACUGAUUCCUCCUUCCUGAAGUACCGUAAUGCCAUUAAUUUGGUGUUGCGGGGAAACAGGACUGUUACUUUGAAAAAAUUAGAGUGUUUAAAGCAAGCUAACGCUUGAAUACAUUAGCAUGGAAUAAUGAAAUAGGACGAUCGAUCCUAUUUUGUUGGUUUUCAGGAUUGACGUA